Molecule: long non-coding RNA, 381 nt
Filed under: Rattus norvegicus (Norway rat)
Lineage: Eukaryota; Metazoa; Chordata; Mammalia; Rodentia; Muridae
Description: long non-coding RNA NONRATT019088
Source: RNAcentral
GGCAGGGGCUGGCGACGGCGUUGUGGGCCAUGGGGCCGCGGCCGGGUUAGGGCGCGGCGAUGUCGGGCUACGCGCGGCGGCAGGGCGCGCCCCCACUAUCGCGGACGCGGAGCCUCGUAGUUCCCGACGGUGACAAACUUGAAGACCUUGAAGAAGCCAAUCCAUUCUCCUUCAAAGAGUUUUUGAAAACCAAGAACCUCAGCCUGUCAAAAGAAGACACAGCCACCAGUCGAAUUUACCCGAAGGUACAUCUGGGAAGCUGUCAGUGGUUGCCUUAAAGAAAGUCUCUUGUACCUUACAGCUUUGGAAACUGACUCGAGUGUGGGGAGCAAAGCAGGACAGACAUGGCUGCUGGUGGAGAGACUGUGGGUGGAGCGGCCG